UAUCUCCCUUCGACGCCAUCGAGUACUUCGCGCUAACGCCUUCGCGUAGGCGCUCUAUAUUCACGGAAAAGGCAGAUUCUGUGGGAUUCUAUGUUCUGCUUUAGUGGGAUGAAACAUUCAAAAUAAUGUCAUCGUGUGAAGUUUCAGCCUUUGGCCCUUCAAAUCAAAAUGAGCCUGGAGACGCCACAGCCGGAAUGCGAAAGGUUGGAGAAGUGCUCAUUCUGAUGAUCCUGGCACAGCUUGCCAUGGUGGACCAGGCAAGUUUGCAAGGGCCUUGAUUCACCAUGUGGUCACAGAGAAGAACCUUAUGGGCCACUCAUUUCUCGGAAACAACACCACCAAUAGGCAAAAAGAGGCUCUUGGCCUUAUCAGGGUCAACGCUGUU
This is a long non-coding RNA of Dermacentor silvarum, 385 nucleotides long. RefSeq lists it as uncharacterized. The transcript is spliced from 3 exons. The record is from RefSeq and is a predicted model, not a curated record. Lineage: Eukaryota; Metazoa; Arthropoda; Arachnida; Ixodida; Ixodidae.